GACGAACGCUGGCGGCGUGCUUAACACAUGCAAGUCGAACGGAAAGGCCCUGCUUGCAGGGUACUCGAGUGGCGAACGGGUGAGUAACACGUGGGUGAUCUGCCCUGCACUUCGGGAUAAGCCUGGGAAACUGGGUCUAAUACCGGAUAGGAGCCAUUUUUAGUGUGAUGGUUGGAAAGUUUUUUCGGUGUAGGAUGAGCUCGCGGCCUAUCAGCUUGUUGGUGGGGUAAUGGCCUACCAAGGCGGCGACGGGUAGCCGGCCUGAGAGGGUGGACGGCCACCUUGGGACUGAGAUACGGCCCAGCCUCCUACGGGAGGCAGCCGUGGGGAAUCUUGCACAAUGGGCGCCAGCCUGAUGCAGCGACGCCGCGUGGGGGAUGACGGCCUUCGGGUUGUAAACUCCUUUCGCUAGGGACGAAGCUUUUUGUGACGGUACCUAGAGAAGAAGCACCGGCUAACUACGUG
This 465-nucleotide ribosomal RNA is filed under the name uncultured bacterium. Its description in RNAcentral is "partial 16S ribosomal RNA". It matches the Rfam family "Bacterial small subunit ribosomal RNA", at positions 28 to 507 of the family's 1533-position model. The record is from RNAcentral.